RNAcentral lists this ribosomal RNA (1462 nucleotides) under human gut metagenome. Its description in RNAcentral is "bacterial LSU rRNA". It matches the Rfam family "Bacterial large subunit ribosomal RNA", at positions 829 to 2317 of the family's 2925-position model. The record is from RNAcentral.
CCAAUCGAACCCGGAGAUAGCUGGUUCUCCUCGAAAUAGCUUUAGGGCUAGCCUCAUACAAGUCUUGCGGAGGUAGAGCACUGAAUUUCCUAGGGGGCGUCAAAGCUUACCGAAGAAUAUCAAACUCCGAAUGCCGUGUAGAUGGUGUAUGGGAGUCAGACUGUACGAGAUAAGUUGGACAGUCAAAAGGGAAAGAGCCCAGACCGCCGGCUAAGGUCCCAAAGUGGGUGUUAAGUGGAAAAGGAUGUGGGAUCUCUAAGACAACCAGGAUGUUGGCUCAGAAGCAGCCAUUCAUUAAAAGAGUGCGUAACAGCUCACUGGUCGAGAGGUCCUGCGCCGAAAAUGUCCGGGGCUGAAACACCACACCGAAGCCGCGGAACCCGUAAGGGUUGGUAGAGGAGCAUUCUUAGGGGAGCGAAGCAUUACCGGAAGGGGAUGUGGACCGCUAAGAAGAGAGAAUGCCGGAAUGAGUAGCGAGAGCAAGGUGGGAAUCCUUGCGGCCGAAUAUCCAAGGUUUCCAGAGUAAAGCUGAUCUGCUCUGGGUAAGUCGGGGCCUAAGGAGAGGCAGAGAUGCGUAUCCGAUGGACAGCAGGUUUAAGAUUCCUGCACCCCUUGUUAUCAGAACUGCGGGGACACGGGAAGGGAAGCAGAGCCGGGAAUGGAAAGCCCGGUGCAAGCGAAGUAGUCGCAGGGUUGGAAAAUCCGCCCUGCAUGAGACGAAGGCGUGAUGCGGAGCGAAAUGAAGUAGUGAAGCUGCGGCCCCUUCCUGUCGAGAAAAGCCGCUAUCGUGUAGCAAGGGCCCGUACCGUAAACCGACACAGGUGGAUGAGGAGAGGAUCCUAAGGCCGGCGGGAGAAGUGUUGUUAAGGAACUCGGCAAAAUGACUCCGUAACUUCGGGAGAAGGAGUGCUGCGCAAGCAGCCGCAGAGAAAUGGCCCAAGCAACUGUUUAGCAAAAACACAGGUCUAUGCGAAACCGAAAGGUGAGGUAUAUGGGCUGACGCCUGCCCGGUGCUGGAAGGUUAAGGGGAGAGGUUAGCGCAAGCGAAGCUUUGAACUUAAGCCCCAGUAAACGGCGGCCGUAACUAUAACGGUCCUAAGGUAGCGAAAUUCCUUGUCGGGUAAGUUCCGACCCGCACGAAAGGCGUAAUGAUUUGGGCACUGUCUCAACAACACACCCGGUGAAAUUGAAAUACCAGUGAAGAUGCUGGUUACCCGCGCCAGGACGGAAAGACCCCAUGGAGCUUUACUCCAGUUUGAUACUGGGAUUCGGUACUGCAUGUACAGGAUAGGUGGGAGACGAAGAAGGAUGGACGCCAGUCUGUCCGGAGUCGCUGUUGGGAUACCACCCCUGUAGUACUGGGUUUCUAACCAGUUGCCAUGAACUGGCAAUGGGACAAUGUCAGGCGGGGAGUUUGACUGGGGCGGUCGCCUCCGAAAGGGUAUCGGAGGCGCUCAAAGGU